CGGAGUGUAGCCCAGUCUGGUAGCGCACCACGUUCGGGACGUGGGGGUCGCAGGUUCAAAUCCUGCCACUCCGACCA
Molecule: transfer RNA, 77 nt
Filed under: Methylobacterium nonmethylotrophicum
Lineage: Bacteria; Pseudomonadati; Pseudomonadota; Alphaproteobacteria; Hyphomicrobiales; Methylobacteriaceae
Description: Methylobacterium sp. 6HR-1 tRNA-Pro
Rfam family: tRNA
About the family: Transfer RNA (tRNA) molecules are approximately 80 nucleotides in length. Their secondary structure includes four short double-helical elements and three loops (D, anti-codon, and T loops). Further hydrogen bonds mediate the characteristic L-shaped molecular structure. tRNAs have two regions of fundamental functional importance: the anti-codon, which is responsible for specific mRNA codon recognition, and the 3' end, to which the tRNAs corresponding amino acid is attached (by aminoacyl-tRNA synthetases). tRNAs cope with the degeneracy of the genetic code in two manners: having more than one tRNA (with a specific anti-codon) for a particular amino acid; and 'wobble' base-pairing, i.e. permitting non-standard base-pairing at the 3rd anti-codon position.
Source: RNAcentral